RNAcentral lists this ribosomal RNA (255 nucleotides) under uncultured bacterium. RNAcentral's name for it is "partial 16S ribosomal RNA". It matches the Rfam family "Bacterial small subunit ribosomal RNA", at positions 194 to 453 of the family's 1533-position model. The record is from RNAcentral.
CUUAUGGAGAAAGAUUUAUCGGAGAUGGAUGAGCCCGCGUUGGAUUAGCUAGUUGGUGGGGUAAUGGCCUACCAAGGCGACGAUCCAUAGCUGGUCUGAGAGGAUGAUCAGCCACACUGGGACUGAGACACGGCCCAGACUCCUACGGGAGGCAGCAGUGGGGAAUAUUGGACAAGGGGCGCAAGCCUGAUCCAGCCAUGCCGCGUGAGUGAAAGGGCCCUAGGGUUGUAAAGCUCUUUCAACGGGAAGAUAAUG